This 302-nucleotide ribosomal RNA is filed under the name uncultured bacterium. RNAcentral describes it as "partial 16S ribosomal RNA". It matches the Rfam family "Bacterial small subunit ribosomal RNA", at positions 508 to 807 of the family's 1533-position model. The record is from RNAcentral.
GCAGCCGCCGCGGGAAUACGUAGGGUGCAAGCGUUAAUCGGAAUUACUGGGCGUAAAGCGUGCGCAGGCGGUUUUGUAAGACAGAGGUGAAAUCCCCGGGCUCAACCUGGGAACUGCCUUCGUGACUGCAAGGCUGGAGUGCGGCAGAGGGGGAUGGAAUUCCGCGUGUAGCAGUGAAAUGCGUAGAUAUGCGGAGGAACACCGAUGGCGAAGGCAAUCCCCUGGGCCUGCACUGACGCUCAUGCACGAAAGCGUGGGGAGCAAACAGGAUUAGAUACCCCUGUAGUCCCUGUCUCUUAUAC